AAGGACCCCUUGCUGCAUUAUAUUUCAGAGCAUUGGAGUUGUGACCUCAGAGAGACUCUCCUGGUGUUUAAACAUGCUGGGAUCCCACCUGUCCGGUACAGCUUUCACAGAUCUGCUUUCUGCUUCACCAGUCAUUAGGCAUUCCAUCCAACCCUGACAGUUGCAUCCGCUUCUAGAAGCACUCCAGAGAUCUGUGAAUUUGAUUACAAAUGCUAGAGACUGAUCAUUAAGCCAUUGUGUCCUCCUCGUGGCUCUCAGCCGGCUUCUUUGGGCUACAUGCACUUCCCCAUUCCUGGAUUUCUGCAGCCAGCCAGAGGCUCUGAGACAACAGAAUAAAAGAAAAGCCAUGUGAAAUAUCAAAUGGAGAGAAGGUUGUCUUGUAACUUCUAACAGG
Molecule: non-coding RNA, 394 nt
Organism: Mus caroli (Ryukyu mouse)
Lineage: Eukaryota; Metazoa; Chordata; Mammalia; Rodentia; Muridae
Source: RefSeq, a predicted model, not a curated record